CAAUAGCGUAUAUUAAAGCUGUUGCGGUUAAAAAGCGCGUAGUUGGAUUUCUGUCAAGGACAACUGGUCCGCCCCUCGGGUGAGCACAUAGUUUGGUCUUGGCAUCUUGUUGGAAACUGUUGCUGCACUUGGUUGUGUGGCGCAGUGUCCAGCACUUUCACUUUGAGGAAAUUGGAGUGUUUCAAGCAGGCACAUGCCUUUGGACACAGUAGCAUGGAAUAAUUAGAUUGGGCUUUUGCUCCAACUUGUCGGUUUCUGGAGCUGAGGUGAGAAUUAAUGGGGAUUGUUGGGGGCAUCCGAAUUUAGCCGUCAGAGGUGAAAUUCUUGGAUCUGCUAAAGACGGACAACUGCGAAAGCGUUUGCCCAGGAUGUUUUCAUUGA
Molecule: ribosomal RNA, 381 nt
Filed under: uncultured eukaryote
Lineage: Eukaryota
Description: partial 18S ribosomal RNA
Rfam family: Eukaryotic small subunit ribosomal RNA
Source: RNAcentral